AGCAUUUGGUGGUGUUCAGAGGAGGAGAGAAAGAGAUGAAGAGGAGUGAGCCAGGUUUCAGGAGGGGGCACGCAGGAGACCAGCCCUGGAUUCAGACUUGAGCCUGGUCCACACCAGAGGCCGAUAGAAGGCUUGGAUUACAGCAGGGGCAGGUUCUUUCACGAAAUCAAAUUUCUCCACUGAUUUCUGAAUUCAUAGCAAGCUAACUAGAAGAGAUUUUUAAUUCAGAAUGCUGCACUCCAAAAAACUGAGAAAGACAUUGAGGGAGGGAAUAUGGAAAUUUGAUGGUAUCUCGGCUAAGUUUGAUAUUGAGAUUUUUGUAAUAAAUGUUGUUGAAUAAAAAAGGCAUCAAGAUGCCUAAAUCAGAGAGAUAAAAUGAAGAAUAAUUACAGUAUACAAUUUUUGAAUUAUUGUCCAAUCAACUAAAAUUAGAAGUUUUUAACAUGCUAAAAUGGAAAGUUAUUCAACAGAAUGGAAUCCUUUAAAAUAUGAUGGAACUGCCACUUAAGCAUCAGAAGUCUGCUCAGGUGUGACCCUGGGAGCCCAAACUUUUCACGGAACAGCAAGGAACAUCCCUGUGCUCCUCCUUCCCAGUCUCUUUUUUUUUCAGAGGGAGUCUCGCUCUGUUGCCCAGGCUGGAGUGCAGUGGCGAGAUCUCAGCUCACUGCAAGCUCCGUCUCCCGGGUUCACGCCAUUCUCCUGCCUCAGCCUGCCGAGUAGCUGGGACAACAGGCGCCAGCCACCAUGCCCAGGCAUACAAAACCUGCCUUGCCUCUCCCCAGUUUGAACAGUGCUUUUGAACUUUGAUGGAAAAGCCACAUUUGGAAGCUGCAGCAUCCUCGGGAGACAGCUGGAUCAGCCAGAGAGCUUCAGAAAGACACACAUCACUCUGCCAGACACACACACUGCUCCAGCUCCAGCAUCCAACAUCUGACCACAUGUCGGCAGCCACUGCUGACCUGGCUCCACCAUUUCUCCCCAGGUCUAAGCUUAAGCCGCACUGCAUUGCUUCCAUUUCUUCAUGCUUGCUCUGUUCCCUUCUACCACAGGGGCUUUGUGCAAGCUCAGCCUCAACAUGGAUCUUCCCCCUUCUUCACCUGGUCAACAGCCACUCAUUCUUCAACCUUAGUUCGAGCAUCAUCAACCUCCCCCGCUAUGUCAGUUCUCCCUGUUAGACACCCUGGCUGUUCCACAUAUCUUUUAUUCAAAGUAGUUACAUAUUAAAGCAUUCCAUUUGUGCAUACAAUUAUUGUAGAAUUACUUCCCAGCAGACAGAUGCUAUAGGAGGGAAGAGACCUUUUCUGCUUAAGUAUCUAGUGCAGUGCCUGGCCCUUAAUAGGUGCUCAACAAAAAUUUUUAAAUGAAUGCUUAAAUACCAUAUCAUGGGUCAUGUCUGGUUGCAAAAAGAUAUUCAUCAUAAUAAAAAUAAUAAACUAUAAUUAAAAUAUACUCAUCAUCAUAAAAAUAAAUGAACUAGGCAGAUACUGGUGUUAAAGGUAUCACUGCCUUUAUUGUGGGCCAUUUUAGGAUGCAAGGCACAGUAGGGGUAAACAAUUAAGAGAGACUUCUGUAGUCUAGGAAUACAAGAGCUAGUAAAUAUAUAAUGUCUCCAGCAAGAGAAAGGAGGACAAGCAAGUCGGAGCAAGCUGCCCACUGGGGUGGGAGAAGGGAAUGAUAAAAGGGAGGAUUGGAAAUAUACACCAAAAUGCACCAUUCAUACAACGUUUCUAUUCACAACUCAGAAUUCACUGAACAAAAAAUGACCAUUCUGUAUACGAUUCCAAUUAAAUGCAUUAUUGUUGUAUCUGAUUGUGCUAGUGCCUGUCGCUAAUCCAUGCCACAAUGAUUCAUGCUUUAAAAAAAAAAAAAAAAAAAGAAGCAAUUGGUUAUAACAGCCACCACAGUGCAUUUCUAGAUAAGAGCUCAGUGACUGUUAAGGGGCACCUGCGUAAGAGCUCCAUUAACAAUGCUAGGCAAGGAAGAAAACCCCAGGGCAGAUGCCAGACGGAGCAAGAGACAAACAUGCAUUUAUUUUCCGUUUACUCCAGAUAACUCAUUAAAUUUCAAGGAAACUUCAGAAUUUAAAACUCACAGCAAUGUAAAGAACAGGAGGGGCAUCUUCAAUGGAGAAGAUACUUCAUCAAAUUUGGAAAGUGAAAGCAAAGGGAAAGUCUGACUAAAAUAACAUAGAGCAAGCUAUACCCUGGACUUCCUGCAAAGGGGGCUUCAGUGAGGGAGGGGCCCAUCUGCCUACAGAACUCAAGCAGGCACUGGCCUCAGGAGCCCCAGAUAACAGCCAGCUCCUGGACUUUUUAUUCCAGAAUGAACUCUACCAGUUGGAUCUUCCAGGCAAGCUUUUUAUCCUGUUCAUGCUAAAUAAAAACAACCACAAAGUGCCAGGCAUUUGAGGAAACCCUGCAAUGUGAAAGAGGAAAAAUAACAAACAGGGGAAACAAUUCCAGAAUAAAUAAAAAUAAUGAAGGGAAUAGAAGAGAAAUUACUAGGAAAAAAAAUUCCCAGAUCAGAAGCUCAGAUUUGGGUUGCUAUUUCAUUCAUAAAACAAAAACAGAAUAAUGCUGUAAAGAAGAAAUAAUUAGAGAACAAAAAAAGAAGUUUGAAAAGUAAACAAUUUGGAUUAUGAAAAUAAUAACAAUAGAAAGUGAAAUUUAUAAAAUCUGCCAAAUCACAGACCAAAAAAGUCGGGCAAUAGAAGAUAAAAGAGAUAGAGAACCACUCCUUGCGUCCUUAGCCACCACCCUUUGCUUGUUUUUCCAUUUUCCUUUCAUCUCUCGGAAUAUCUCAUCAGCUGAUAUCUAUUAGAGGAGAAGGGAAUUGUCCCCCAAGAGACUAAGUUCUGAGCAGAUGAAUGAAAAACGGCUACCUCAAGGCACAUCAGUGUGAAGUUUCAGAACACAAAGAGUUAGCAGAAGAUCCUAAAAGCUUCCAGUAGGAAAAAAUAAGAUAAAAGCUCACCUACAAAGAAACCAAAGCCAGACAGGCGUAGAAGGAACAUUUGCUGCUAGAAGGUAAUGGAACAAUGUGUACAAAAUUCUGUGAGAACUGAACAUCAACCUCAAAUUCUAAAUUCAACCCAACUCAAAUGUAAAGCCAAAUUAGAGAUUAAGACAUGCAAGCAUUCAAAGUAUAUCUCCACACACCUGUAAUCCCAGUACUUUGGGAGGCAGAGGCAGGCAGAUCACUU
Molecule: long non-coding RNA, 3202 nt
Filed under: Homo sapiens (human)
Lineage: Eukaryota; Metazoa; Chordata; Mammalia; Primates; Hominidae
Description: HSALNT0300552
Source: RNAcentral